UACAUGAGACAUUGAAAUGUGAAAGAUGUUUUUUUUUAAUAGAUUUCAAUAUUGUUGAAGGUGUUGUAGUAUGAGAAUAUAUAUAACUUUUCAAAUCACACGUGAUAAUAACUUUUCAAAUCUCACAUGAUAAUUAUUCUCUAAAUUUAUGAUCUGGUAGAAAAAAAAUCAUUGAUCAGGAAAGACAUAAAAAUAUUUCGUGAUGAAUAAUAUAGUUAACAAUAAUUUUGAUAUGGUAUACUUUUAAAAUUGAUGGUGCUUAUCAAUUAUUACACAUAAUUUUAAUCAUAAUUGGUAUACUUGCCAUAGUGGUUGGAAAUAUUGCCUUGCAUUGAAGAGUUGCGGGUUCGAAUCCUAGUCAAGAUAAAAUUGUAUCAUUUUUUAAUAAAAAUUGCAUGAUAAAAUGGAGGGAAAAUAGAGGAAACAAAUUAGGGUUUAUAGUUUGCUUGUGUAUACAAGCUUAUAAUAUAAAAGAU
This 476-nucleotide long non-coding RNA is filed under the name Trifolium pratense (red clover). RNAcentral describes it as "long non-coding RNA (TPRA_LNC006545)". Lineage: Eukaryota; Viridiplantae; Streptophyta; Magnoliopsida; Fabales; Fabaceae. The record is from RNAcentral.